AGGGUUUGAUCAUGGCUCAGAUUGAACGCUGGCGGCAGGCCUAACACAUGCAAGUCGAACGGUAACGGGAAGAAGCUUGCUUCUUUGCCGACGAGUGGCGGACGGGUGAGUAAUACUUAGGAAUAUGCCUUUGUGUGGGGGAUAACUAUUGGAAACGAUAGCUAAUACCGCAUAACGUCUUCGGAAUACCGCAUAACGUCUUCGGACCAAAGGGGGCUUUCGGGCUCCCGCGCAAAGAGUAGCCUAAGCGAGAUUAGCUUGUUGGUGAGGUAAAGGCUCACCAAGGCGACGAUCUCUAGCUGUUCUGAGAGGAAGAUCAGCCACACUGGGACUGAGACACGGCCCAGACUCCUACGGGAGGCAGCAGUGGGGAAUAUUGCACAAUGGGGGGAACCCUGAUGCAGCCAUGCCGCGUGUGUGAAGAAGGCCUUCGGGUUGUAAAGCACUUUCAGUUGUGAGGAAAACAUAGUAGUUAAUAGCUGCAUACUUUGACGUUAGCGAUAGAAGAAGCACCGGCUAACUCCGUGCCAGCAGCCGCGGUAAUACGGAGGGUGCGAGCGUUAAUCGGAAUUACUGGGCGUAAAGCGCAUGCAGGCGGUUUAUUAAGUCAGAUGUGAAAGCCCUGGGCUCAACCUAGGAAAGUCAUUUGAAACUGGUAAACUAGAGUCUUGUAGAGGGGGGUAGAAUCUUAGGUGUAGCCGUGAAAUGCGUAGAGAUCUGAAGGAAUACCAGUGGCGAAGGCGGCCCCCUGGACAAAGACUGACGCUCAGAUGCGAAAGCGUGGGGAGCAAACGGGAUUAGAUACCCCGGUAGUCCACGCCGUAAACGAUGUCUACUUGAAGGUUGUGGCCUUGAGCCGUGGCUUUCGCAGCUAACGCGAUAAGUUGACCGCCUGGGGAGUACGGCCGCAAGGUUAAAACUCAAAUGAAUUGACGGGGGCCCGCACAAGCGGUGGAGCAUGUGGUUUAAUUCGAUGCAACGCGAAGAACCUUACCAUCCCUUGACAUCCACAGAACUUUCCAGAGAUGGAUUGGUGCCUUCGGGAACUGUGAGACAGGUGCUGCAUGGCUGUCGUCAGCUCGUGUUGUGAAAUGUUGGGUUAAGUCCCGCAACGAGCGCAACCCCUAUCCUUAUUUGCCAGCGAGUAGUGUCGGGAACGUUAAGUAGACUGCCGGUGAUAAACCGGAGGAAGGCGGGGACGACGUCAAGUCAUCAUGGCCCUUACGAGUAGGGCUACACACGUGCUACAAUGGCAGGUACAGAGGGCAGCAAUACCGCGAGGUGAAGCCAAUCCCAGAAAGCUUGUCGUAGUCCGGAUCGGAGUCUGCAACUCGACUCCGUGAAGUCGGAAUCGCUAGUAAUCGUGGAUCAGAAUGCCACGGUGAAUACGUUCCCGGGCCUUGUACACACCGCCCGUCACACCAUGGGAGUGGGUUGCAAAAGAAGUAGCUAGUUUAACCUUCGGGGGGGGCGUUUACCACGGUGUGGUUCAUGACUGGGGUGAAGUCGUAA
This 1512-nucleotide ribosomal RNA is filed under the name uncultured prokaryote. RNAcentral describes it as "partial 16S ribosomal RNA". It matches the Rfam family "Bacterial small subunit ribosomal RNA". The record is from RNAcentral.